UGGGAUAUGUAGCUCAGUGGUAGAGUGCUCACUUAGGAUGCUUGUGGUCCUGGGUUCAAUCCCAAUACCACAA
RNAcentral lists this transfer RNA (73 nucleotides) under Marmota monax (woodchuck). RNAcentral's name for it is "tRNA.Pro". Lineage: Eukaryota; Metazoa; Chordata; Mammalia; Rodentia; Sciuridae. The record is from RNAcentral.